Molecule: small RNA, 306 nt
Filed under: Arabidopsis thaliana (thale cress)
Lineage: Eukaryota; Viridiplantae; Streptophyta; Magnoliopsida; Brassicales; Brassicaceae
Description: ATSL255690
Source: RNAcentral
UAUUUAAAGAUACUUUAUAAAAUUUACUGAUGUGAAUGGUUUUAAUGUUUCUAAAAAAAUACAAAUCUAAAAUUAAAGACACUUUUCAUUUUAUUACUAUUUUUUUAAAAGAGUUUUAUACUUAAACGACACUAACUAAUAAAUGAUCAACAUGUAAGGUCUAACUAAUUUGAUGGGUGUGUUAACUUGUUGGCUACCAUCACACCAUGUAAAGCAUCCGAGCUUGAGAGAUUACAUUAUUAAAUUCAUUUUUUUUGAGUUUAAGUUAUUAACUAUAGGUUUUACCACUACUGCUUGAAUACUUUU